This 417-nucleotide ribosomal RNA is filed under the name uncultured beta proteobacterium. Its description in RNAcentral is "bacterial SSU rRNA". It matches the Rfam family "Bacterial small subunit ribosomal RNA", at positions 9 to 430 of the family's 1533-position model. The record is from RNAcentral. Lineage: Bacteria; Pseudomonadati; Pseudomonadota; Betaproteobacteria.
GAGUUGAUCGUGGCUCAGAUUGAACGCUGGCGGAAUGCUUUACACAUGCAAGUCGAGCGGCAGCGCGGGGCAACCUGGCGGCGAGCGGCGAACGGGUGAGUAAUGCAUCGGAACAUGUCCAUGUCGUGGGGGAUAGCCCGGCGAAAGCCGGAUUAAUACCGCAUACGCCCGAGAGGGGAAAGCGGGGGACCGCAAGGCCUCACGCGAUUGGGUUGGCCGAUGUCCGAUUAGCUAGUUGGUGGGGUAAAGGCGUCACCAAGGCGAUGAUCGGUAGCUGGUCUGAGAGGAUGAUCAGCCACACUGGGACUGAGACACGGCCCAGACUCCUACGGGAGGCAGCAGUGGGGAAUUUUGGACAAUGGGGGCAACCCUGAUCCAGCCAUUCCGCGUGAGUGAAGAAGGCCUUCGGUUGUAAGA